RNAcentral lists this ribosomal RNA (253 nucleotides) under uncultured bacterium. RNAcentral describes it as "partial 16S ribosomal RNA". It matches the Rfam family "Bacterial small subunit ribosomal RNA", at positions 524 to 776 of the family's 1533-position model. The record is from RNAcentral.
UACGGGGGGGGCAAGCGUUGUUCGGAAUUACUGGGCGUAAAGGGCUCGUAGGCGGCCAACUAAGUUUGACGUGAAAGCUCCCGGCUUAACUGGGAGAGGUCGUUGAAUACUGGAAGACUUGAGGCAAUGAGAGGGGUGUAGAAUUCCCGGUGUAGUGGUGGAAUGCGUAGAUAUCGGGGGGAAUACCAGUGGCGAAAGCGGCACCCUAGCGUUAGCCUGACGCUCAUGUGCGAAAGCGUGGGGAGCGAACGGG